Halichondria panicea is the source of this 945-nucleotide long non-coding RNA. RefSeq lists it as uncharacterized. Lineage: Eukaryota; Metazoa; Porifera; Demospongiae; Suberitida; Halichondriidae. The transcript has 5 exons. The record is from RefSeq and is a predicted model, not a curated record.
AUUAAUUUUAAAUUGCUUUCAUUGUCAGCUCCUAGCAAAGAAAGAUGUGUAGCUAAGAAGCAGUAGCAGUUUCCUGCAGGCAACUUUGUUGCAAACUAGUCUAGAAUAGCUACUCUGCCAGGAUCUCUAAGUUUCGAACGGAGGAGUAUACCAGCCAAGGCCCCAGCAAAGGAUCAUUUCACAAGUAAGCUCUGUAUGUGUAUAGCGAUCAGCAUUUUCCUAGUUCAGCCUUUAUAAGCCUUUUGAGCUGAUUUAAUAUGCUUGUCCACCUACCUAGAUAGCCUCUGAGUGUGUGAAAUAUACUGGAAGAGUAGCUUCCAUUCGCCUCUAGCAAAGAAAGAUGCAAAGAAAGAUGCAUAACUUGGAAACAGUGACAGUUUUCUUUAUUCAACUUCUUAGCAAAGUAGUCUACAGUAGUUACUGUGUCAGGAUCUCCUGGUUUCCAACGAAACAGUCAACCGCAGGGCCAGAGCAAGGGAUCACUUCAGAGUGUGGCAAAGAAAGAUGCACCCCUUAGUAACAGUAACAGUUCUCUUCAAGCUACGUACCUUGUAGUUCUAUCUGAACAGUCGAACAGUCAACCAGCCAAGGACAGAGCGAGAGAUUACUUUAGAGCUGUGAAGAAUACUGGACACCGGAAAGUUUGGGCCAACAGAUUGGUUGAGAUGGUGGGAGUCCAUAGGCAGGCCAGGAGUGGAACUGCUUACAGUCUGUGAAACAAUCGUCACUGCUAUCUGCCAUGGUACCACCACCAUCUUAUGGGUCUGAGAAGUCCUACUCACUGUCACUACUAUCCAAGAUACCCAGGAUACCUCAUCCCUUGUGUACAGAGGCCUCUUUGUUAUUGUUGUACCAUAGAAUUAAUUGUAAUUGUAUUUAUUAUAAUGUAUGUUCACUUUUGAGAUUGAUAUUGAAAUACAAAUUUCACACGAAAUUUUAAGCAAA